This 216-nucleotide ribosomal RNA is filed under the name Triticum aestivum (bread wheat). RNAcentral describes it as "partial small subunit ribosomal RNA". Lineage: Eukaryota; Viridiplantae; Streptophyta; Magnoliopsida; Poales; Poaceae. The record is from RNAcentral.
AUGAGAACUAAAGUAGAGAAACAAACUUGGUUUGAUAGCAUUUAUAAGGUAAAAGAGAAGCGGGCUGCAUGUUAUAUGAAGGAUGCAUUCACCUUGAGAAUGCGAAGUACACAACUAAGUGAAAGUUUGAACAAUGACCUCAAGCACCAUUUGAAAUCAGAUCUUGACGUGAUCCGUUUUUUCAAGCAUUUUGAAAGGGUUGUUCAAGGGAAAUGA